CACGUAGGCGGACUGAAAAGUCAGAGGUGAAAUCCCAGGGCUCAACCUUGGAACUGCCUUUGAAACUCUCAGUCUUGAGGUCGUGAGAGGUGAGUGGAAUUCCGAGUGUAGAGGUGAAAUUCGUAGAUAUUCGGAGGAACACCAGUGGCGAAGGCGGCUCACUGGCACGAUACUGACGCUGAGGUGCGAAAGCGUGGGGAGCAAACA
This 207-nucleotide ribosomal RNA is filed under the name uncultured bacterium. Its description in RNAcentral is "partial 16S ribosomal RNA". It matches the Rfam family "Bacterial small subunit ribosomal RNA", at positions 568 to 774 of the family's 1533-position model. The record is from RNAcentral.